GACGGAGGAUGCAAGUGUUAUCCGGAAUCACUGGGCGUAAAGCGUCUGUAGGUGGUUUGAUAAGUCAACUGUUAAAUCUUGAGGCUCAACCUCAAAAUCGCAGUCGAAACUAUUAGGCUAGAGUAUAGUAGGGGUAAAGGGAAUUUCCAGUGGAGCGGUGAAAUGCGUAGAGAUUGGAAAGAACACCGAUGGCGAAGGCACUUUACUGGGCUAUUACUAACACUCAGAGACGAAAGCGAGGGUAGCAAAUGGG
RNAcentral lists this ribosomal RNA (253 nucleotides) under uncultured bacterium. RNAcentral's name for it is "partial 16S ribosomal RNA". It matches the Rfam family "Bacterial small subunit ribosomal RNA", at positions 524 to 776 of the family's 1533-position model. The record is from RNAcentral.